This 76-nucleotide transfer RNA is filed under the name Peptostreptococcaceae bacterium pGA-8. Its description in RNAcentral is "tRNA_Lys_TTT". It matches the Rfam family "tRNA". Rfam says of the family: Transfer RNA (tRNA) molecules are approximately 80 nucleotides in length. Their secondary structure includes four short double-helical elements and three loops (D, anti-codon, and T loops). The record is from RNAcentral. RNAcentral also lists the same sequence under 6 other names. Lineage: Bacteria; Bacillati; Bacillota; Clostridia; Peptostreptococcales; Peptostreptococcaceae.
GACCCAUUAGCUCAGGCGGUAGAGCACUUGACUUUUAAUCAAGGUGUCCGGAGUUCGAGUCUCCGAUGGGUCACCA